Molecule: non-coding RNA, 87 nt
Organism: Grifola frondosa (maitake)
Lineage: Eukaryota; Fungi; Basidiomycota; Agaricomycetes; Polyporales; Grifolaceae
Source: Rfam
GGUGAGAUGGCCGAGCGGUCUAAGGCGCCAGACUAAGGUUAUGUAAUCUGGUCCGAAAGGGCGUGGGUUCGAAUCCCACUCUCAUCA